Molecule: ribosomal RNA, 427 nt
Filed under: uncultured prokaryote
Description: bacterial SSU rRNA
Rfam family: Bacterial small subunit ribosomal RNA
Source: RNAcentral
UAAGGAAUAUUGGACAAUGGGCGCAAGCCUGAUCCAGCCAUGCCGCGUGAGUGAAGAAGGCCUUCGGGUUGUAAAGCUCUUUCGGUUGGGAAGAAAUUGCUUCGGAUAAUACCCGGAGUAGAUGACGGUACCAGCAUAAGAAGCACCGGCUAACUACGUGCCAGCAGCCGCGGUAAUACGUAGGGUGCGAGCGUUAAUCGGAAUUACUGGGCGUAAAGCGUGCGCAGGCGGUUGUGUAAGUCAGAUGUGAAAUCCCCGGGCUCAACCUGGGAACUGCAUUUGAGACUGCACGGCUAGAGUGUGGCAGAGGGGGGUAGAAUUCCACGUGUAGCAGUGAAAUGCGUAGAGAUGUGGAGGAAUACCGAUGGCGAAGGCAGCCCCCUGGGCCAAUACUGACGCUCAUGCACGAAAGCGUGGGGAGCAAACA